GAUGUCGAUUAGCUGUUGGGCAACUUGAUUGCUUGGUAGCGUAGCUAACGCGUGAAAUCGACGCCUGGGGAGUACGGUCGCAAGAUUAAAACUCAAAGGAAUUGACGGGGACCCGCACAAGCGGUGGAUGAUGUGGAUUAAUUCGAUGCAACGCGAAGAACCUUACCUGGUCUUGACAUGUACGGAACCUUCCAGAGACGGAAGGGUGCCUUCGGGAGCCGUAACACAGGUGCUGCAUGGCUGUCGUCAG
This 250-nucleotide ribosomal RNA is filed under the name uncultured bacterium. RNAcentral describes it as "partial 16S ribosomal RNA". It matches the Rfam family "Bacterial small subunit ribosomal RNA", at positions 808 to 1058 of the family's 1533-position model. The record is from RNAcentral.